RNAcentral lists this long non-coding RNA (729 nucleotides) under Panicum hallii. RNAcentral's name for it is "long non-coding RNA (PHAL_LNC000115)". The record is from RNAcentral. Lineage: Eukaryota; Viridiplantae; Streptophyta; Magnoliopsida; Poales; Poaceae.
UUUAGAAUCCGGAUUCUUAAAUUCUCAAAAUUUCAGAGGCUAGAGCGGACUAGCUUCCAGCAGCUAUUCCAUGUCAAAAUUACACUUUUGCCCGUAGUCCCUCGGAGAAAAUAUGGCAAAUUGUCCUCGUCUUCCUCCAGCCCUGACCCGCAUCUCCUUACCUCUCCCACGACAGGUGCAGCGCGUACGGCCGCGCUCCCCGCCCGCGGCCGUCCCGGAGGCAGGCGCGGCCAGCGGCCGGGGCGGCGGCAUGCGCCGCUGGCCCGGCGCCGCUACUCCCCGCCAUGUGACGAGGCGCCGCAGCCUGAGCUCGGGAGUACCGGGCGGCGCGUCAAGGCCGCCAAGCCGCCGAUCCCCCGCGCGGCGGUGCACCACGUCGACGCGGACGUCCAGCGCCAUGUCGGCGGUGCAGGUCAGCUCCCUGUCCUGGCACGUGCGGGGCUCCCCGCGGUGGCCGGCCAUGAGGCGCGCGCAAGCGCGAGGCCGCAGCGGCGGACUACCGGACGCCGGGAGGGCCGGCGGUUGCUGGCUUCACCGCGUGUGGCCCUGCGGCGAGCACGCCGGGCGGCCGCACGACGGCAACCUGAAGGUGAAGGGAGAAAGAUAAGGAUGAGAAAUGGGGAGAAAUGGACAAGGAAGAAAAAUAAUAAUUUCAAAGGUGGUAUCAAAUUGACAAGAUGGCACAGACCUGAUGCAUGAUAUGCAAAUUAGUUUACGCUGUUCACGAAU